AAAAUAGGAAAAAGCAAUAGUCGAGAAACUAUUCCACUAAAGAUUAACUUUCCAUUCAAUCAGUAUAAUACAAGAACCAUAACUCCAAAUAGAAUAUUGAGAUUCAAAAUGGUCUUUGUUCAGACCAGUUUUUAACAGAUCUGGGAA
Molecule: long non-coding RNA, 147 nt
Organism: Ipomoea nil (Japanese morning glory)
Lineage: Eukaryota; Viridiplantae; Streptophyta; Magnoliopsida; Solanales; Convolvulaceae
Exons: 2
Source: RefSeq, a predicted model, not a curated record